RNAcentral lists this ribosomal RNA (2922 nucleotides) under Bacillus cereus. RNAcentral's name for it is "23S ribosomal RNA". It matches the Rfam family "Bacterial large subunit ribosomal RNA". Lineage: Bacteria; Bacillati; Bacillota; Bacilli; Caryophanales; Bacillaceae. The record is from RNAcentral.
GGUUAAGUUAGAAAGGGCGCACGGUGGAUGCCUUGACACUAGGAGUCGAUGAAGGACGGGACUAACGCCGAUAUGCUUCGGGGAGCUGUAAGUAAGCUUUGAUCCGAAGAUUUCCGAAUGGGGAAACCCACCAUACGUAAUGGUAUGGUAUCCUUAUCUGAAUACAUAGGGUAAGGAAGACAGACCCAGGGAACUGAAACAUCUAAGUACCUGGAGGAAGAGAAAGCAAAUGCGAUUUCCUGAGUAGCGGCGAGCGAAACGGAACAUAGCCCAAACCAAGAGGCUUGCCUCUUGGGGUUGUAGGACAUUCUAUACGGAGUUACAAAGGAACGAGGUAGACGAAGCGACCUGGAAAGGUCCGUCGUAGAGGGUAACAACCCCGUAGUCGAAACUUCGUUCUCUCUUGAAUGUAUCCUGAGUACGGCGGAACACGUGAAAUUCCGUCGGAAUCUGGGAGGACCAUCUCCCAAGGCUAAAUACUCCCUAGUGAUCGAUAGUGAACCAGUACCGUGAGGGAAAGGUGAAAAGCACCCCGGAAGGGGAGUGAAAGAGAUCCUGAAACCGUGUGCCUACAAAUAGUCAGAGCCCGUUAACGGGUGAUGGCGUGCCUUUUGUAGAAUGAACCGGCGAGUUACGAUCCCGUGCGAGGUUAAGCUGAAGAGGCGGAGCCGCAGCGAAAGCGAGUCUGAAUAGGGCGUUUAGUACGUGGUCGUAGACCCGAAACCAGGUGAUCUACCCAUGUCCAGGGUGAAGUUCAGGUAACACUGAAUGGAGGCCCGAACCCACGCACGUUGAAAAGUGCGGGGAUGAGGUGUGGGUAGCGGAGAAAUUCCAAUCGAACCUGGAGAUAGCUGGUUCUCCCCGAAAUAGCUUUAGGGCUAGCCUUAAGUGUAAGAGUCUUGGAGGUAGAGCACUGAUUGGACUAGGGGUCCUCAUCGGAUUACCGAAUUCAGUCAAACUCCGAAUGCCAAUGACUUAUCCUUAGGAGUCAGACUGCGAGUGAUAAGAUCCGUAGUCAAAAGGGAAACAGCCCAGACCGCCAGCUAAGGUCCCAAAGUGUGUAUUAAGUGGAAAAGGAUGUGGAGUUGCUUAGACAACUAGGAUGUUGGCUUAGAAGCAGCCACCAUUUAAAGAGUGCGUAAUAGCUCACUAGUCGAGUGACUCUGCGCCGAAAAUGUACCGGGGCUAAAUACACCACCGAAGCUGCGGAUUGAUACCAAUGGUAUCAGUGGUAGGGGAGCGUUCUAAGGACAGUGAAGUCAGACCGGAAGGACUGGUGGAGUGCUUAGAAGUGAGAAUGCCGGUAUGAGUAGCGAAAGACGGGUGAGAAUCCCGUCCACCGAAUGCCUAAGGUUUCCUGAGGAAGGCUCGUCCGCUCAGGGUUAGUCAGGACCUAAGCCGAGGCCGACAGGCGUAGGCGAUGGACAACAGGUUGAUAUUCCUGUACCACCUCUUUAUCGUUUGAGCAAUGGAGGGACGCAGAAGGAUAGAAGAAGCGUGCGAUUGGUUGUGCACGUCCAAGCAGUUAGGCUGAUAAGUAGGCAAAUCCGCUUAUCGUGAAGGCUGAGCUGUGAUGGGGAAGCUCCUUAUGGAGCGAAGUCUUUGAUUCCCCGCUGCCAAGAAAAGCUUCUAGCGAGAUAAAAGGUGCCUGUACCGCAAACCGACACAGGUAGGCGAGGAGAGAAUCCUAAGGUGUGCGAGAGAACUCUGGUUAAGGAACUCGGCAAAAUGACCCCGUAACUUCGGGAGAAGGGGUGCUUUCUUAACGGAAAGCCGCAGUGAAUAGGCCCAAGCGACUGUUUAGCAAAAACACAGCUCUCUGCGAAGCCGUAAGGCGAAGUAUAGGGGGUGACACCUGCCCGGUGCUGGAAGGUUAAGGAGAGGGGUUAGUGUAAGCGAAGCUCUGAACUGAAGCCCCAGUAAACGGCGGCCGUAACUAUAACGGUCCUAAGGUAGCGAAAUUCCUUGUCGGGUAAGUUCCGACCCGCACGAAAGGUGUAACGAUUUGGGCACUGUCUCAACCAGAGACUCGGUGAAAUUAUAGUACCUGUGAAGAUGCAGGUUACCCGCGACAGGACGGAAAGACCCCGUGGAGCUUUACUGUAGCCUGAUAUUGAAUUUUGGUACAGUUUGUACAGGAUAGGCGGGAGCCAUUGAAACCGGAGCGCUAGCUUCGGUGGAGGCGCUGGUGGGAUACCGCCCUGACUGUAUUGAAAUUCUAACCUACGGGUCUUAUCGACCCGGGAGACAGUGUCAGGUGGGCAGUUUGACUGGGGCGGUCGCCUCCUAAAGUGUAACGGAGGCGCCCAAAGGUUCCCUCAGAAUGGUUGGAAAUCAUUCGUAGAGUGCAAAGGCAUAAGGGAGCUUGACUGCGAGACCUACAAGUCGAGCAGGGACGAAAGUCGGGCUUAGUGAUCCGGUGGUUCCGCAUGGAAGGGCCAUCGCUCAACGGAUAAAAGCUACCCCGGGGAUAACAGGCUUAUCUCCCCCAAGAGUCCACAUCGACGGGGAGGUUUGGCACCUCGAUGUCGGCUCAUCGCAUCCUGGGGCUGUAGUCGGUCCCAAGGGUUGGGCUGUUCGCCCAUUAAAGCGGUACGCGAGCUGGGUUCAGAACGUCGUGAGACAGUUCGGUCCCUAUCCGUCGUGGGCGUAGGAAAUUUGAGAGGAGCUGUCCUUAGUACGAGAGGACCGGGAUGGACGCACCGCUGGUGUACCAGUUGUUCUGCCAAGGGCAUAGCUGGGUAGCUAUGUGCGGAAGGGAUAAGUGCUGAAAGCAUCUAAGCAUGAAGCCCCCCUCAAGAUGAGAUUUCCCAUAGCGUAAGCUAGUAAGAUCCCUGAAAGAUGAUCAGGUUGAUAGGUUCGAGGUGGAAGCAUGGUGACAUGUGGAGCUGACGAAUACUAAUAGAUCGAGGACUUAACCAU